RNAcentral lists this ribosomal RNA (261 nucleotides) under uncultured Oscillospiraceae bacterium. Its description in RNAcentral is "partial 16S ribosomal RNA". It matches the Rfam family "Bacterial small subunit ribosomal RNA", at positions 64 to 339 of the family's 1533-position model. Lineage: Bacteria; Bacillati; Bacillota; Clostridia; Eubacteriales; Oscillospiraceae. The record is from RNAcentral.
AAACUAGAUAUGACUUAGUGGCGGACGGGUGAGUAACACGUGAGCAACCUGCCUUUCAGAGGGGGAUAACGGCUGGAAACGGUCGCUAAUACCGCAUGAUGUGUUCGGAUGGCAUCAUCUGAACAUCAAAGAUUUAUCGCUGUGGGAUGGGCUCAUGUCUGAUUAGUUAGUUGGUGGGGUAACGGCCUACCAAGUCUACGAUCAGUAGCCGGACUGAGAGGUUGAACGGCCACAUUGGGACUGAGAUACGGCCCAGACUCC